Molecule: ribosomal RNA, 275 nt
Filed under: uncultured bacterium
Lineage: Bacteria
Description: partial small subunit ribosomal RNA
Rfam family: Bacterial small subunit ribosomal RNA
Source: RNAcentral
AGAACGAACGCUGGCGGCGUGGAUAAGACAUGCAAGUCGAACGAGGCGAUGCGCGUAGCAAUACGUGUAGAGCUUAGUGGCGCAAGGGUGCGUAACACGUGGGCAACCUGCCCUGAAGUUGGGGAUAGCCCGCCGAAAGGCGGAUUAAUACCGAAUGUGGCUAGAGAAGACCUCUUCUCGACGCCAAAGCCGGGGCAACCUGGCGCUUCUGGAUGGGCCCGCGGCCUAUCAGCUAGUUGGUGAGGUAACGGCUCACCAAGGCGAUGACGGGUAGC